This 468-nucleotide ribosomal RNA is filed under the name uncultured bacterium. RNAcentral's name for it is "partial 16S ribosomal RNA". It matches the Rfam family "Bacterial small subunit ribosomal RNA", at positions 28 to 507 of the family's 1533-position model. The record is from RNAcentral.
GACGAACGCUGGCGGCGUGCUUAACACAUGCAAGUCGAACGGAAAGGCCCUGCUUUUGUGGGGUGCUCGAGUGGCGAACGGGUGAGUAACACGUGAGUAACCUGCCCUUGACUUUGGGAUAACUUCAGGAAACUGGGGCUAAUACCGGAUAGGAGCUCCUGCUGCAUGGUGGGGGUUGGAAAGUUUCGGCGGUUGGGGAUGGACUCGCGGCUUAUCAGCUUGUUGGUGGGGUAGUGGCUUACCAAGGCUUUGACGGGUAGCCGGCCUGAGAGGGUGACCGGCCACAUUGGGACUGGGAUACGGCCCAGACUCCUACGGGAGGCAGCAGUGGGGAAUAUUGCACAAUGGGCGGAAGCCUGAUGCUGCAACGCCGCGUGCGGGAUGACGGCCUUCGGGUUGUAAACCGCUUUCGCCUGUGACGAAGCGUGAGUGACGGUAAUGGGUAAAGAAGCACCGGCUAACUACGUG